CAGACAAGCAGCAGAAAACUUGUUACAGACAUUGGAACAAGAGAAAAAUGAAACCUCUCCGGUGUCAAAUCCAGCCGAAACCCUCAAGCAACUUGCUAGAAAGGCUUCCAAGGAUCUCUACAUUGAAGUUUCCCCCGGCACCUACUCUGUCACAGCAACCUCGGAGGAUAUGGUGAAACAGACACAUGUGGUGGAUGUUAAUGCAGGACAAAGUAUUGAUUUAACUUUCAGUAUAUGAUGAUCACUCUCAAUCAAUCAAAGGAAUAAAACAAUACUACAGUCUCCUAAUGAAUUAAUA
This 298-nucleotide long non-coding RNA is filed under the name Chelonoidis abingdonii (Abingdon island giant tortoise). Its description in RNAcentral is "lncRNA (ENSCABG00000003824.1)". Lineage: Eukaryota; Metazoa; Chordata; Testudines; Testudinidae. The record is from RNAcentral.